Molecule: ribosomal RNA, 254 nt
Filed under: uncultured bacterium
Lineage: Bacteria
Description: partial 16S ribosomal RNA
Rfam family: Bacterial small subunit ribosomal RNA
Source: RNAcentral
UACGUAGGGGGCAAGCGUUGUCCGGAUUCAUUGGGCGUAAAGAGCGUGUAGGCGGCCAGGUAGGUCGGUUGUGAAAACUGGAGGCUCAACCUUCAGACGUCGACCGAAACCAUCUGGCUAGAGUCCGGGAGAGGAGAGUGGAAUUCCUGGUGUAGCGGUGAAAUGCGCAGAUAUCAGGAGGAACACCGGUGGCGAAGGCGGAUCUCUGGGCCUGUUCUGACGCUGGAGGCGCGAAAGCUAGGGGAGCGAACAGG